This 395-nucleotide long non-coding RNA is filed under the name Setaria viridis. Its description in RNAcentral is "long non-coding RNA (SVIR_LNC008624)". The record is from RNAcentral. Lineage: Eukaryota; Viridiplantae; Streptophyta; Magnoliopsida; Poales; Poaceae.
GAUACAGUGUCACCUCCAGUCCACAGGAAAACUCACCGUCGAGCGUCCAGUUGCUUUAACACGCUAGCGGGCAGUGUGAGGGUGCCCAUCAGUGGCGGGCCCACUUAGAUUCAAUGGUAUUCAAUUGAAUACCCAUUAUUUUUGCAAAAACAUUUCAUAUACAUAGUGUAUUUUAGAUAUAUGUAUGAAAAAAACAAAAAUACAGAACCUAGCAUAGACAUUUCACUCAAAAAGGCCCAUCGGAGGCCAACCUCGCUCUCCCUCAACUGGCCCAACUGGCCCAUCCGGCCCAUCCGGCCACUCGACUGCCCCCCACCGGCCCAUCCCCACGCGUGAUCACGCACAUGCCAGAAUCACGCACCACAGCCAGUCUCCAGCCUCCAGGCGCACGAUCC